UUGAACGCUGGCGGCAGGCCUAACACAUGCACGUCGAACGGUAACAGGAAGAAGCUUGCUUCUUUGCUGACGAGUGGCGGACGGGUGAGUAAUGUCUGGGAAACUGCCUGAUGGAGGGGGAUAACUACUGGAAACGGUAGCUAAUACCGCAUAACGUCGCAAGACCAAAGAGGGGGACCUUCGGGCCUCUUGCCAUCGGAUGUGCCCAGAUGGGAUUAGCUAGUAGGUGGGGUAACGGCUCACCUAGGCGACGAUCCCUAGCUGGUCUGAGAGGAUAACCAGCCACACUGGAACUGAGACACGGUCCAGACUCCUACGGGAGGCAGCAGUGGGGAAUAUUGCACAAUGGGCGCAAGCCUGAUGCAGCCAUGCCGCGUGUAUGAAGAAGGCCUUCGGGUUGUAAAGUACUUUCAGCGGGGAGGAAGGGAGUAAAGUUAAUACCUUUGCUCAUUGACGUUACCCGCAGAAGAAGCACCGGCUAACUCCGUG
This 489-nucleotide ribosomal RNA is filed under the name uncultured bacterium. RNAcentral's name for it is "partial 16S ribosomal RNA". It matches the Rfam family "Bacterial small subunit ribosomal RNA", at positions 30 to 507 of the family's 1533-position model. The record is from RNAcentral.